GACAGAGGUGCCGAGCGUUAGGCGGAAUCACUGGGCUUAAAGCGUGUGUAGGCGGGCCGUUAAGUGUCUUGUGAAAUCCCCCGGCUCAACCGGGGAAUUGCUGGGCAUACUGGCGGUCUUGAGCGAUCUAGGGGCAGAUGGAACAAGUGGUGGAGCGGUGAAAUGCGUAGAUAUCACGUGGAACGCCAAAGGUGAAGGCAGCUCGCUGGGGGUGUCCUGACGCUGAGGCGCGAAAGCCAGGGGAGCGAACGGG
This 253-nucleotide ribosomal RNA is filed under the name uncultured bacterium. RNAcentral's name for it is "partial 16S ribosomal RNA". It matches the Rfam family "Bacterial small subunit ribosomal RNA", at positions 524 to 776 of the family's 1533-position model. The record is from RNAcentral.